GAUGAACGCUAGCUACAGGCUUAACACAUGCAAGUCGAGGGGCAGCAUUUUAGUUUGCUUGCAAACUGAAGAUGGCGACCGGCGCACGGGUGAGUAACACGUAUCCAACCUGCCGAUAACUCCGGGAUAGCCUUUCGAAAGAAAGAUUAAUACCGGAUAGCAUACGAAUAUCGCAUGAUAUUUUUAUUAAAGAAUUUCGGUUAUCGAUGGGGAUGCGUUCCAUUAGUUUGUUGGCGGGGUAACGGCCCACCAAGACUACGAUGGAUAGGGGUUCUGAGAGGAAGGUCCCCCACAUUGGAACUGAGACACGGUCCAA
This 316-nucleotide ribosomal RNA is filed under the name uncultured bacterium. Its description in RNAcentral is "bacterial SSU rRNA". It matches the Rfam family "Bacterial small subunit ribosomal RNA", at positions 28 to 334 of the family's 1533-position model. The record is from RNAcentral.